AUUAGGUGGUGGAAAGAACUAGACUUUGAAAGGAAGCUGCCUUUUGCAAGAAACAGAAUUGCGGAGUUAUACUGCUGGAUUUUGGGGGUCUAUUUUGAGCCCCAAUACCUUGUUGGAAGAAAAUUUCUCACAAAAAUUAUUGCCCUGAUGUCUGUAAUGGAUGAUAUCUAUGACGCAUUCGGUACAUUUGAAGAACUUGAGAUCUUUACCGAAGCAAUUCAUCAAAGGUUUGAAAUUAUUUAUUAAAAAAAAUUGUUUUGUUUAUAUUUUAUAUGCUUAAGAGGAAUAUGGUGUAUGCAAUUUACAGAUGGCAUGCCAAUUGCAUGGAUGGACUGCCAGAGUACAUGAAAAUAUUCUUCCAUACGCUUUUGAAUGUUUUCAAUGAAAUUGAGGAGGAGAUGGUGAAAGAAGGAAGAGCAUACCGAGCUCACUAUGCAAAAGAAGCGGUAUGUUAAUUAAUUAAAGAAACACACAGCUUAUUAAUUCACUAUUACAAUUAAUUUACAUAAUAUUUAUGUCCCACAUAUGCAGUGGAAAACUAUUACCAAAGCUUACUUUGAUGAGGCCAAAUGGUUCCACGAAGGAUGCAUCCCAAGCAUGGAGGAGUAUAUGCGUGUUGCUGCAACUUCUGCUGCUAGCUUCGCACUUUCAACUACAUCUUUAGUUGGCAUGGGAGAUAUUGUAACCAAGGAGUCCUUUGAGUGGUUGUUCAAUGACCCUAAAAUUCUUAGAGCUUCCAAUAUCAUUGUUAGGCUCAUGGAUGACAUCGUUUCGAGCAAGGUACACAGAAACUAUGUACUAAAUUGUGCUUUAACUAUUACAUAACUUAGGUCUCUCAAUUCAUAACUAUUUCAUCACUUGGAUUCUUUUUUGGGAUUCUGGAUUCCAUUUUUGCAGUUUGAAAAAGAGAGAGGCCAUGUUGCUUGUGCUAUUGACUGUUACAUGAAGCAAUAUGGGGUCUCAGAUGAGCAAGAGAUAAUUGAUGUCUUCAACAAACAAAUUGUGGAUUCGUGGAAGGAUAUCAACGAGGAGUUCCCUAG
This 1040-nucleotide long non-coding RNA is filed under the name Prunus dulcis (almond). Its description in RNAcentral is "sRNA ncRNA". The record is from RNAcentral. Lineage: Eukaryota; Viridiplantae; Streptophyta; Magnoliopsida; Rosales; Rosaceae.